UGACAUGUUCACAGGUGACAAUUUCAAGCUAUAACUUGCUGCCAUUUCCGUGCUUCGUAUCAUCAUUAUUAAAUGUUACUGCUGCCAAGCCAGUGAAUGAUUCACAUAAGUCCCAUUUUGACAGGGGAAGCAAGAUGAAAUAGUGCGGCACAAAAGCCAAGCUCGGGUUUAUGGUGGGAUGCUACAGAGCUGAAUGGACGAGUGAAAGCCUAAUAGACAACGAUUCAAUUGGGAAUUUCAUGUUUGGGAAAUAAAAGAUGAUCCAGAAAUCGAGAGACGAGCCGGUGAAUUGAGUUGUUCACUUUUACCACGCACCGUGAGCAGCAUCGUCAGCAGCGUGUUCAUGUUCAGCAGUGUGUCCUAGACAUUGCCAGGCAAAAAGUGUGGAUUUAAUCCGAAAUCCAAGUCAUAAAACGGGAUUUCACAUUUCGCAAAACAAUAAAUAUGUUCUCGCCUCCCAUUUUCCUGGUCCCUUCAUCAAAUGUGCCAGCAUAUCGUAGGGAGCUAAGCAAACUCUGGAGCACUGUAGAAAGCAGGGACAGAAAGCAAAAUCAGUGUCAUCAUCAAGAGUAUAGGUAACAUUUAGUAGUCUGAGUAGAUGCGUGCUUUCUGCCAAAAAACCCCCCUUCGAGAAUAUAAUGCUGCGGCAUAGAAAUUUUGUGAGCUUGACUCAAAUCAGUGAGUUGUGUUUUGGCGAGGAGGGUGUGUGUGCUUGCAUGUGCGGGAAAAGUGUGAAACCUUUAUUGAAUAUUCAUUGUGUUCAAUGUCUUGAAAGAUAUGAUGAGUUAUGUCAUGUGUCUGUUCGGGAGAUAUCUCGGGGCAAAUCUGAAUAUUUCAAGCUUGACUGGGACCCUGGUUGGUGUCACACUUUGAAACAACACCGCAACACCUCAGGGAUUACAUAUGCGUUCACGCCUGCUUGUAAUAUGCACCAUGUACGGUGUCACAUCUUUUGCUUUGAUUUCUUUCAUUUUUAUAAUGCGACAAUUCACACUUGGUUUCGUUUCCUCGUUAAAAUUAAUAUAUGGAAACUUUUGCAAUCUUUUAUGUAUGUACACACAUACAUAUUUUAUUUACAUGUUAUCAAACAGUGGUGUGUACAUAUACCUAGGUUGCGACGUUGUGCUAUAUAUCUAUCUACAUACGUAGUGCAAAUGAGAACAAUGAGAAACUGAUACAAAAACCAUCAAAGGAUGUACGUCAUCAGGAAACACCAGUCAGACAACCUUCGACGUGUUAUGUCUAUGAUUUAGUGGUUCAAUAAAAAUUCCUCAUUUCUGUCUUUUUGCGAAGUUAGUCACUAAUGAAUGAUAAAGGUGGCAGAAGAGCGGUGAUGAUUCUGGUUGGCUACUGAUCUGUCGAAUGUGUCAGCAGAGGAAAAUCAAUUAAAUGGAUUCCUCGCCCAAUAAUAAUUGCUCUACCCAAGGCCCAUCAACAUUAACUCAUGAAACCAAAUAGUUUUGGUCAAUAUGGUCAUAACUGCCACGUUAUCAUAUGUGCAUGACCAGUAUUUGAAAAGUCCGAAGUGGAAAUUGAAUUACUUUCACUGGUGAAAGUCGAGAAGACCAUCCGUAUAAUUUAAAUUAGCUUUUGAGCUGCGAUAAAUGUCCCGUAAAAUGAUCACAGAGACAAUCAUACGAAAGGUUGAAAUCGAGUGGGUGAUUGUGCCCGAACCCGACGUUAGUCCGUAGCGUCCUGAGACGUAAAGCGAUUUUAGUACACAUGAAACCUCCUCACAUCACACAGACAGACGCCCACGCACUGUUAAAUAUUGAAACGCUGGCGUACCCGUUGAUGUGAAACACUUGUUUGGU
Molecule: long non-coding RNA, 1814 nt
Organism: Folsomia candida
Lineage: Eukaryota; Metazoa; Arthropoda; Collembola; Entomobryomorpha; Isotomidae
Exons: 3
Source: RefSeq, a predicted model, not a curated record